RNAcentral lists this ribosomal RNA (245 nucleotides) under uncultured bacterium. RNAcentral describes it as "partial 16S ribosomal RNA". It matches the Rfam family "Bacterial small subunit ribosomal RNA", at positions 532 to 776 of the family's 1533-position model. The record is from RNAcentral.
GUGCAAACGUUGUUCGGAAUUACUGGGCGUAAAGCGAGUGUAGGCGGUUUGGUAAGUCGGAUGUGAAAGCCCCGGGCUCAACCCGGGAAGUGCACUCGAUACUGCCAAGCUAGAGUAUCGGAGAGGUUGGUGGAAUUCUCGGUGUAGAGGUGAAAUUCGUAGAUAUCGAGAGGAACACCGGUGGCGAAGGCGGCCAACUGGACGAAUACUGACGCUGAGACUCGAAAGCGUGGGGAGCAAACAGG